Molecule: small RNA, 5040 nt
Filed under: Rattus norvegicus (Norway rat)
Lineage: Eukaryota; Metazoa; Chordata; Mammalia; Rodentia; Muridae
Description: uncharacterized LOC108350781
Source: RNAcentral
UGGGCUGGGCUGGGCUGGGCUGGAGUUAGGCAGUGAGCUGUGCCUGACAAACCAUUCUGUUGGAUAAAGAUCUGAACGGGAAAAGCCCAGUCCAGUCUCUUGUCCCUCAGCAACCCCUUCCUGGCAAGCACUUUAAAGACCCUGAGACCAAUGACUCUGAACUGAGUCUGAAGGCCAGGGCAGCUCGGAGUCAAAUGGAGCUCAGACCACCCAAGACCACACCCAGAGCAUCCCUGCUGGGGCUACAGAAAAUAAUACAAGAUCUGUGGCAAGGAACAGGAAACGACCCUCACUAAACUUGUCCGGCCCCUUUUAGCUGAAGGUAGAAGGUUCCUUCUCGGCAACAUCACAAGUUCGGGACCAACCAGGGCUAUAUGAGAUGUCAACUCAAAAAAUCAAAAUACAUACAUACAUACAUACAUACAUACAUACAUACAUACAUACAUACAUACAUAGUGAGUUUUGGGCCAGACAGGACUAUAUAUAAAGAUCUUGUCUUAAAAAUAACAAACAAAACCAAAAAACAGAAAUACUGACAGAAAACCACUGUUCAAGCUGGAGCAGACAAGCCCAACAGCCAGACAGGAAGAGAAAAGAACAUGGGAAAAACACACCAAACACCCCUUCACUCCUCCACUAGAAGGCAGGGCUCUUCUGUGAGGGCAGAGAGGACAUGCAAGCUGGGAAUGCCCCGGGCCUUGGUAGAGUAAUCCUCAUUGUUUACUAGUCCAGGCCAAAAAGGAAAAGCCCCUAAGAACAUGAGCAGAACAACCAGAGAGACCAGGAGCUGUGCCUAGCGAAAGUGUUUGAAAACUCUGACACCUCCUCCUGGAGUCAGACGUCACGGAAGGGUCUUGAGGACAAAUAAGAAACAGGCUAGGCCCACAGGGUCGGCAUUCAUCUCGAUGGGCAGACACCAGCUCGAACAGUCCCCAACACCACAGAAACCGUGUGAACACAUGCAAUCCCAGCACUGGGAGGCGGAGGAUCAGAAGUUCAAAGUCGCCCUGAGCCGGGUUCCAGGGGCUGUGAUAGACUAUUCUCAAAAGGGAGAGAGCUGAGAGGGAGAGAGGGCAAAACCAACAAUCGAGUUCCUAGACAGGAACUCAUUAAACAGGGUGGGGAGCCAGGCAGACUUGAAGCAUGAGGUAGGGAGGCACGUCACCAGGUCCUGGUCCAUUCUCUGCACCUUCUUUGGUUUCUAGCCGUCAGGUUCAGAUCCUCCUGUGACCUGCCACCUCCGUCGUGCUGGGAACCGUAGUCAGGUUGCCAUGACUACAGAAAAGCGCAAUAGCCACCUUACUGCAAUGUCAACGAAACUUUCCCCUAAAGGAGUGUUAGUCUUCUGCAUCUAAGCUUUGGUGAGUAAACUUCUGGAGGACCCUACUGGCUGUUGCAUGCUCCAAACCAGAUGAUGUCCUCAGACCUCCAGAUCUGCCUCCUCAGCCUGACGCAGGACAUGCAUUUGGUUACCCUGCAGAACUAAAACCCCACACCCUUCAAGUCGGAAGGGCAUCCAAACCUCGUAAACUCUACUGUGUAACUCAGAGCUGAUGGAGAGUUGCCAGUGCAGUCCCUGCAAUUCCUUUGUUUUGAGUUGGUUUUGUUUUGCUUUUGUUUUCCCACACACUCCUGUAGCCAAUCCUGGCUUUGAAUUCCUAACUCUCGCCUCUAGCUCCCACAUGCUGGGGUUAUAAGCAUGGGACACUGUUAUGGUUGGUGUGGCCAAUUUGACAGAAUCUAAGAUUGCCUGGAAGAUGAGCCUCCAAGUGUAUCUAUGUAGGGGAUGAUCAAUGAUCUGGACUGCUUUAUUUAGAGUGGGAAAAUCUGCCCACUAUGGGUGGUACAAUUCCUUCUGCCCACUAUAGGUGGUACAAUUCCUUCUGCCCACUAUGGGUAGUACAAUUCCUUCUGCCCACUAUGGGUAGUACAAUUCCUUCUGCCCACUAUGGGUAGUACAAUUCCUUCUGCCCACUAUGGGUAGUACAAUUCCUUCUGCCCACUAUGGGUGGUACAAUUCCUUCUGCCCACUAUGGGUGGUACAAUUCCUUCUGCCUACUAUGGGUGGUACAGUUCCUCCUACAAAGGAUCCUGGACUGAAUAAAAGGAUAAAAUGAUCUAAGCAAGGUUCACUCUUCCUCCCUCCCUCCCUCCCUCCCUCUCCUUCCUCCCCUCCUUCUCCCCCUCUUCCUCACACUGGUUCUUGGCUGCCAAGAUGAUGUGACCAACUCUUUCAAGUUCCUGCUGCCUUAAAUUAGCUUCCAUGAUGGACUGUACCUUGAACUGUGAACCUUUCACAGUCAUUUGAACCUUUCCUCCCUAGAGUUUUUUGUGUCACAGUAUUUAAUCACACGAACAAGAAAAUAAACUAAGAAAGAUACCGUGCGUAAAUUUAACUUUCAUGAAACGGGGUCUUUCUCUGCAGCACAAAGAGCCCUUGAAUUCCAGGUCCUCUUGCCUCAUCCUCUCAAGUACUAGAAUCAUAUGUGUAUAGCAUCCCUGGCUUAAAGCAGUGUUUUAUUGUUUGCUAUUUAUUUGGAGGGGUGUGUGGUUGUGUGUGUGUGUGUGUGUGUGUGUGAAUGUGUAUGUGUGCACACAUACAUACACCACAGCAUGCAUAGAGAUCAGAGCUCAAACUAUGGGAAUCUGUUUUCUCCUUCUAUCCUGUGGGUUUAGGAGCUCAAACUCAGGUCCAGACCAGGCUUGGUAUCAAGCACCUUUAAACAUUGAAUUAUCUCACCGGACUCCAAAAACCCUUUUAAAAAGGCUUCUGAGAAAGAAUAGAUAGCACGUCUUGACGUGUUCACAUUUGGAAAAAGUCCAGAACUGCCUAGAUUGUAGCAGCUCAAAAAAUUAGAAACUGAGAGGCCUGAGGUCAAUGAGAUAGGCCUGAACGGAAUUCAUUCCACACCGAGUUUAACUGACUAUUUAACCCUGCACAUGUGCACCCGCUCAGGGGAAACUAGAGGGUAUUGCCAUGACGACAUCUGCACGUUCUCUGAACCAAAUUAUGGAAGCAGCCGAGGGGCAGAAUGGAGCUCAGACUGUAUAGUGCUUACCGAGCACGCACAAAGUCCUGGAUUUGCUGCCAGCAAGGAAAAACGUCAGAUGUGGUGAUGCAUGCCUGUAAUCCCAGGACGGGGGACGUUGAGGCAGGAGGAUCAGGGAGUACAAAAUCAGCCCGGGGUACAUGAGAGACGCUGACUUAGAAAGAAAAGGAACAGAAAACAGAGAAGACACGUUCUAGAUAAGACAAGAAGAACGAGGCCUCCUGUUAAGAUGGUGUCAAUGUAAGCUGCUCAAAACAGGACAACCCUUGUUAGAAUGGCCGCUAUGACGGAGUGAGUAUACAGCACUACAGUGCUGGGUUUCUCAGAGCCAUUCUCAUCCGCUGAGUCACGUGCUUUACCACACUCACCGCCCACCCCAGAGCAUUCCUCUCUCCCCUCUCCUGCCAGUCUGCCUUCUCCCAGAAAAUCUUGCUUCUACUUCAUGUCUCUCUCACACCUAUACACAUGUAUACACACCUACACACAUAUGUAUCUAUCAACGAUCCAGAGAUGAGAGAAGGCAAGUGAUAAUUGUCUGCCUGGGUUGUUUCGUUACUAGGAUCUGCGCUUCCAUCCACUUUCCUGGGUUAUCACUUCCUUAUUUAUGGCUGUGUAAGACUCUACUGUAUGCAUGUGUGUGUGUGUGUGUGUGUGUGUGUGUGUGUGUGUGUGUGUGACACUGGCCUUACUCAUCUGUUGACUGACAUCUAAGAGACUGAGUGAGGGACAGAGCUCUGAUGUCCGCACACAGACAAAUGCACCUCAUACAUGUGGACACACACAGAGUACUUUAGGAGGCGUGGUUUGAAGGAAGCUACAUAAGCUAUAAUACCCACACACUACUUUCCCUUUUUGUUUUUUUCAUGUAUUUUAUGUGCACGACUGUUUUCCCUAUCUGCAUGUAUUUGCACUGUACGCAUGCCUGGUGUCUUCAGCAGUCAGAAGGCAUCAGACCCUGAGAACUGGGGUUACAGACAGUUAUAAGUCACUAUGUGGGCACCAGAAACCAAAGCUGGGGCACGUCCAUUAACAACAAAUGUUCUAACUACCUCGCCAGGCCCUCCACUGUACUAACAGGGUCUUAGCACCUCCUAAGGUCCCUCCUGUCUCUGCUCUGUACCACGGAGCCAACAGGACCAUUCAACAGUGUCCAGCCCUUUAAAUGGGUUCUUGGAGACCAUUAGGUUCUCAUUCUUGCAUGGUUAAUACUUUACAUCGCCCUGGUCCUCAAAGUAUAUGUUUUUUAAGUGCUCUGCAAUCCAGCUGACCUAAGACUUUCCCAUACUUACAGAGAGGUCAUAUUUUGUGCAUCUGGGCUGAAAUGUAGACAGUAGAUGAUGAGCCUGUCCAGAAUGCUGUGGUGCUCUGUUGAUUCAGCACUCAAUCCUUUUGUAAGUUUCCCUCUCAGUUUAUUUUGCUCUUGUUUGGCAAUAUACUAGAAUUUUCCAGAGACUUCUAAAUACUCAGGUGCCUGGGAUUCUGAUUUAAUGAACAUAGAGGGCAUCGGGGGGUUUCAAGAGUUCCCCAGGUGUGAUUAGGAAACAACAUCAGAUGGCUUUUCAUGCUUCUAUCUUCCCCACUGAAUUAUGGGUUCUGGAGGAGGUGCUAGUCUUUUCUCCGUGCCCCAUGGAGUCUAACUAUAGUGCCCUGCAUUAAUAAUUGCUUACUAAACAUUAACUAAAUUGGACCAUAAGGACAGAGAACUUAAACUCCUCCCACCCAUGGCCCUGCUAGACUUCAGUGGGUGUGGGCAGAAGAUCAUCGUGUGUCUUCAGAGGGCUGGAACACUGGAGACAUAGGAACACUAGUGCCCACAUAGUGGCUUAUAACUGUCUGUAACCCCAGUUCUCAGGGUCUGAUGCCUUCUGACUGCUGAAGACACCAGGCAUGCGUACAGUGCAUAUACAUGCAGAUAGGGAAAACAGUCAUGUACAUAAAAUACAUGAAAUAAAAAGAGGGAAAAUAGUGUGUGGGUAUUACACUAAAGCAG